This 459-nucleotide ribosomal RNA is filed under the name uncultured bacterium. RNAcentral's name for it is "partial 16S ribosomal RNA". It matches the Rfam family "Bacterial small subunit ribosomal RNA", at positions 338 to 795 of the family's 1533-position model. The record is from RNAcentral.
CCUACGGGAGGCAGCAGUGAGGAAUAUUGGUCAAUGGGCGGGAGCCUGAACCAGCCAAGCCGCGUGAGGGAAGAAGGUACAGCGUAUCGUAAACCUCUUUUGUCAGGGAACAAAGGCGGGGACUAGUCCCCGGAUGAGGGUACCUGAAGAAAAAGCAUCGGCUAACUCCGUGCCAGCAGCCGCGGUAAUACGGGGGAUGCGAGCGUUAUCCGGAUUUAUUGGGUUUAAAGGGUGCGCAGGCGGCCUUUUACGGGAGGGGUAAAAGCGCGGGGCUCAACCCCGGCGAGCCGGUGAGACUGGCGGGCUGGAGUGGGAGAGAAGUACGCGGAAGGCGCGGUGGAGCGGGGAAAUGCUGAGAUAUCGCGCAGAACCCCGAUUGCGAAGGCAGCGUACCGGCUCCACACUGACGCUGAGGCACGAAAGCGUGGGUAUCGAACAGGAGUAGAUACCCCAGUAGUC